AAGGCGUAACGAUUUGGGCACUGUCUCAACAACAGACUCGGUGAAAUUGUAAUUCCGGUGAAGAUGCCGGAUACCUGCGACAGGACGGAAAGACCCCAUGGAGCUUUACUGUAGCUUGACAUUGGGUCUUGGUACUACAUGUACAGGAUAGGUGGGAGGCUUUGAAACCAGGACGCCAGUUUUGGCGGAGCCAUCCUUGGGAUACCACCCUUGUAGUACUGGGACUCUAACCAUAGGCCAUGAAUCUGGUCUUGG
Molecule: ribosomal RNA, 255 nt
Filed under: Clostridioides difficile
Lineage: Bacteria; Bacillati; Bacillota; Clostridia; Peptostreptococcales; Peptostreptococcaceae
Description: partial 23S ribosomal RNA
Rfam family: Bacterial large subunit ribosomal RNA
Source: RNAcentral